AGAGUUUGAUCUUGGCUCAGGACGAACGCUGGCGGCGUGCCUGAUACAUGCAAGUAGAACGCUGAAGACUGGUGCUUGCACUAGUCAGAUGAGUUGCGAACGGGUGAGUAACGCGUAGGUAACCUACCUCAUAGCGGGGGAUAACUAUUGGACAACGAUAGCUAAUACCGCAUGACAAUUAAGUACUCAUGUACUAAAUUUAAAAGGAGCAAUUGCUUCACUAUGAGAUGGACCUGCGUUGUAUUAGCUAGUUGGUGAGGUAACGGCUCACCAAGGCCACGAUACAUAGCCGACCUGAGAGGGUGAUCGGCCACACUGGGACUGAGACACGGCCCAGACUCCUACGGGAGGCAGCAGUAGGGAAUCUUCGGCAAUGGGGGCAACCCUGACCGAGCAACGCCGCGUGAGUGAAGAAGGUUUUCGGAUCGUAAAGCUCUGUUGUUAGAGAAGAACGGUAAUGGGAGUGGAAGAAUCCAUUACGUGACGGUAACUAACCAGAAAGGGACGGCUAACUACGUGCCAGCAGCCGCGGUAAUACGUAGGUCUCGAGCGUUGUCCGGAUUUAUUGGGCGUAAAGCGAGCGCAGGCGGUUAUUUAAGUCUGAAGUUAAAGGCCGUGGCUCAACCAUGGUUCGCUUUGGAAACUGGAUAACUUGAGUGCAGAAGGGGAGAGUGGAAUUCCAUGUGUAGCGGUGAAAUGCGUAGAUAUAUGGAGGAACACCGGUGGCGAAAGCGGCUCUCUGGUCUGUAACUGACGCUGAGGCUCGAAAGCGUGGGGAGCAAACAGGAUUAGAUACCCUGGUAGUCCACGCCGUAAACGAUGAGUGCUAGGUGUUAGGCCCUUUCCGGGGCUUAGUGCCGCAGCU
Molecule: ribosomal RNA, 865 nt
Filed under: uncultured bacterium
Lineage: Bacteria
Description: bacterial SSU rRNA
Rfam family: Bacterial small subunit ribosomal RNA
Source: RNAcentral